RNAcentral lists this ribosomal RNA (301 nucleotides) under uncultured bacterium. Its description in RNAcentral is "partial 16S ribosomal RNA". It matches the Rfam family "Bacterial small subunit ribosomal RNA", at positions 509 to 809 of the family's 1533-position model. The record is from RNAcentral.
CAGUAGCCGCGGUAAUACGAAGGGUGCAAGCGUUACUCGGAAUUACUGGGCGUAAAGCGUGCGUAGGCGGUUCUAUAAGACAGAUGUGAAAUCCCCGGGCUCAACCUGGGAACUGCAUUUGUGACUGUAGAGCUGGAGUACGGCAGAGGGGGAUGGAAUUCCGCGUGUAGCAGUGAAAUGCGUAGAUAUGCGGAGGAACACCGAUGGCGAAGGCAAUCCCCUGGGCCUGUACUGACGCUCAUGCACGAAAGCGUGGGGAGCAAACAGGAUUAGAUACCCCCGUAGUCCCUGUCUCUUAUAA